AUAAAUCUCAUUUAUAUAAUUCAUUCAAUAGUGACAAGAUCCAUACAUCCAAAAUUUAAUUCAAGUACUUGAAGUUCCAAACGAAAGAAACUAAUGUAGUUCAAUCAUUCAAAAACUAAAACAUAAAUAUUAGUAGAGUGGUUAAACAUAACAUUACGUCAAAAUAAGUUAAAAAAAUAUCUAAAUAUCCCUAGUAUGUGAUGUUGCUUAAUAAUCCUUAAUUAGCAUUAACUAGACUCGGAAACGCCUACCAUCGCUUGACUCUUCUUAUUCGGUUACCUGAAAAAACAUAAAUAUAUAUUAGCAUACUUAAAAAAUAAAACUGAGAUGUACAAAUUGACUUAGUUCAUUGCAUAAUUCCACAAGAUAAUGGUAUUUUCAAACAUAACAUAAUGCAUCUCUUUUCUAAGAAGAUCAAAUAAAUGAUAAAUGAACUCAUUAACAUAUGCCAAAUUAAACUGCACAUGUAAUCUGGAAUGAUUCGAUACACACCUAUAAGUCUAACACAUUAAGUUGACCAAUGUUUUCAUGAUCAGAAUAACCAUCUUCAAUCCUCAAGUUCAAACAAAACAACAAUGCCAAUAUUCUAAUGAAUUUGAGUUUUAUCAAACAAUUAUAUAUGACAUAUAAUGACAUCUUAAAUUGAACAAUGAGGGUAAAUUGUGCUAACGUGAGCAUAAUUUCUAGGGAAUAAUCUAAGAAAAACAAAUCCAAAUAACUACAAUAAUACAAGAAAAUGGUACCUGAAUUAUAAUUAAUGAACUCAAUCUUAAUGCCUUUAAUUACUCCAUUACUCAAUUCAAUUUGCUGCAACCAUCAACAUCAAUAAACCAAAUUCAAAACUACAAUAUAAAGAGUCCAAUGAAACCUGCAUAAACCAGUCCCAAAAUAUUAGAACAUAAAACCAUUUGAAAUUAGAUUUGA
This 924-nucleotide long non-coding RNA is filed under the name Trifolium pratense (red clover). RNAcentral describes it as "long non-coding RNA (TPRA_LNC004893)". Lineage: Eukaryota; Viridiplantae; Streptophyta; Magnoliopsida; Fabales; Fabaceae. The record is from RNAcentral.